CUGCCCUUUUCAGACACUGAAUUUGAGCAGAAACCAUAAGGAUACUCAAAGGACCUGUGACUCUCAGGAAAUGCAUCAAAUGAGAGGGACAGAUGAAACAGUUUCAAGACAAUGGCAGGAAAAACAUGCUGAAGAUUGAAACAAACCUUGGCUGGAAAUAUUUGAAGGUAUCUAGCCAGUCCACAAUGAAAGCUUCGUUGCACCCCAUGAGUCUUCUGGCAGAAAUGAUGGCGCCUGUAUUCUUUGGUUUCCCUAAACAUCACACCCUGCCUGUUUAUACGAGGCUCUUCAAUUAAGUCUGCACCCAAAGAUUCAAUAAGAGAGGGGAUCCUGCCAGUCCAAAGUGAACUCCUGAUGGACAUUGAAGUACUCCUGCAGAGCUUGUAUCUUCGACACCAUGCGCAUUAGAAACUCCACUGAGUCCUUUCCUUCACCAAGGCAGGACCCAGUGACUCAUUACUGUUGAUAGGUCAGGGGCAGGUAAUAUUUUGUUUCAUGUUUA
This is a long non-coding RNA of Pelmatolapia mariae (spotted tilapia), 502 nucleotides long. RefSeq lists it as uncharacterized. The transcript has 4 exons. The record is from RefSeq and is a predicted model, not a curated record. NCBI's taxonomy places the organism in Eukaryota, Metazoa, Chordata, Actinopteri, Cichliformes, Cichlidae.